GACGAACGCUGGCGGCGUGCUUAACACAUGCAAGUCGAACGGAAAGGCCCUGCUUUUGUGGGGUGCUCGAGUGGCGAACGGGUGAGUAACACGUGAGUAACCUGCCCUUGACUUUGGGAUAACUUCAGGAAACUGGGGCUAAUACCGGAUAGGAGCUCCUGCUGCAUGGUGGGGGUUGGAAAGUUUCGGCGGUUGGGGAUGGACUCGCGGCUUAUCAGCUUGUUGGUGGGGUAGUGCUUACCAAGGCUUUGACGGGUAGCCGGCCUGAGAGGGUGACCGGCCACAUUGGGACUGAGAUACGGCCCAGCCUCCUACGGGAGGCAGCAGUGGGGAAUAUUGCACAAUGGGCGGAAGCCUGAUGCAGCAACGCCGCGUGCGGGAUGACGGCCUUCGGGUUGUAAACCGCUUUCGCCUGUGACGAAGCGUGAGUGACGGUAAUGGGUAAAGAAGCACCGGCUAACUACGUG
Molecule: ribosomal RNA, 467 nt
Filed under: uncultured bacterium
Lineage: Bacteria
Description: partial 16S ribosomal RNA
Rfam family: Bacterial small subunit ribosomal RNA
Source: RNAcentral